This 252-nucleotide long non-coding RNA is filed under the name Lathyrus oleraceus (garden pea). Its description in RNAcentral is "Pisum sativum (pea) long non-coding RNA (PSAT_LNC009559)". The record is from RNAcentral. Lineage: Eukaryota; Viridiplantae; Streptophyta; Magnoliopsida; Fabales; Fabaceae.
UUGGAGAAGAAAGAAUUGGAAGCCAAAAUAUUUCUAAGUUAAAAAAGUGUGUAGCCGAUGGAAAGUUUGUGGUACAAAUUAUCCCUGUCCUGGAACAAUUUUGAGCAUUUUGUGGCACGAUUAAAAUGUUAGUUACACAAUUUGAAGAAAGAGAUGUUGGAGAGAGACAUUACAAAGAGAUGUUGAGGUGACCGUUGAAAAAUCGUGGCACGAUUUGCAGGGAUCGUGGCACGAUUUUGAGAUAAUUUUUUC